AAGGGCUUGAUCUGCACUUGCCUCCAAAAUGUUUUUGAUCUUGGUCAAACUGCUCUGCUUGGUGGAAGAUGAGGAGAAGGCUGGCAGAAAAACUUUCUGUUAAUCCAGGCCCUUCUACAAAAUCUGCAAUGAGCUCUAUCAGUUUGGAGAGCCCCUCAAGAGCAGGAAUUUCUCAAGAUUGGAAGAUUGGACUUGCCAUGCCAAUAGUACAGCUGACAGCGUGGAGGGGCAGUGGCUUCCUCAC
Molecule: long non-coding RNA, 244 nt
Organism: Zonotrichia leucophrys gambelii
Lineage: Eukaryota; Metazoa; Chordata; Aves; Passeriformes; Passerellidae
Exons: 3
Source: RefSeq, a predicted model, not a curated record